CCCAGGCCGAAACUGUACUGUCUCCGUUUCCCAAGGCCGAAGGAGUAGUCGCGCCCUCUCUGGAAUAAUAAAUGUUUCGAGAAUGGGUUUGAGGAUCGUUAUGCUUACUAUUGCUCCACAAUGGAUAUGGAGAUUUUAAUAAUUGUGAUAUUCUCACCUUGUUAUCAUUGGUAUCGAUCCAACGCUUUCCAAUACCAAAGUUGUAGACGGGUAGCCUCUUAUACUCGGAAACGUAAGUGUACGCUCUUUUUUCAGGCACGGUAUCGUCGAACGCCAUAGGAUUCAACAUAUUGUUAUAAUGUUGAAGAUUCAUAGACGAGGCUGGUGUUUCUUCCAUGGCUAAGGCUGACCUUCCCACGAUCCCAACGAAAUAGAGGAAAGCCAAGCUCGAUGUCAGAACGCUUAUCCUGGUCCUCAUUCUGUACCUUGCCUCUUUUUAAGCCUGAUUUCAA
This is a long non-coding RNA of Apis dorsata (giant honeybee), 452 nucleotides long. RefSeq lists it as uncharacterized. NCBI's taxonomy places the organism in Eukaryota, Metazoa, Arthropoda, Insecta, Hymenoptera, Apidae. The record is from RefSeq and is a predicted model, not a curated record. The transcript has 2 exons.